Molecule: non-coding RNA, 638 nt
Organism: Pimephales promelas (fathead minnow)
Lineage: Eukaryota; Metazoa; Chordata; Actinopteri; Cypriniformes; Leuciscidae
Source: RefSeq, a predicted model, not a curated record
GACUGCCUGUGAGCGCCCGCCUCUGGAGGACAUGCGCCGGGGACUCGACACACACGUGAUCCGCUCGACACAAUCCAGUAUGGCGGAACCCGUCAGUGAGUGGAUCCGUCGUUGGCGCGCUCUCCAACGGGAAUAAAGUCCGGAGUGUUGCGUCCGAUCGCGGCGGAGCUUCGGAAAGUUCAAGCCUAUUGAAGAGGAACCAACACACAGAGCUGGAUUACGUCCAGAGGGGGCGCUAUGAGUUUCUGAGAUCGUCCUUUCUUUCCUGUCCCGCAUCUCUUUUGACUCGUCUUUCCAUUCAACCGUGGAUGGUGAGCAGCCAACGAGUCCCAGAGGAGCUGUGAGGUGUUUCUCACAUCCUCAUCUGCCAGGACACACUCCUCCUAUUAUCAACCCAGUCACUUCAGAAAGAGCCGUCGCAGCCACAAUGAGUUCCCACAGCCGCCCAGAUGGACUUCCCAGUAAAGAACAGCCACUGGAACUUCUGAAGCCAUCUGGAGUCAACCACAUUCCUUCUGGUAGGACUGUGUGUGUGUGUGUGUGUGUGUGUCUCACAGGGUCACAGAACGUCUGAUGAUUGGGUUCUGUGACACUAUAGAUGAGAUGUGUUAAACAGGCCUUUUAAAAAUGUUUCAUUC